CAAAAACCGUUCUCUCUAUCUCUGCAAUGAAGAAGACAAGGUUUUUCCUCUCAACCUUAAUUCAAGAAACCGAGAACCCAACUCGACAAGGGGAAACUACCGUUCAUUCGCUCAGAAUUUGCUCAAAAUCCGUUCAAGGGUACGUCCGCAAGUAAAGUCGGAACGAAUGAUUCAAGUUAAAGGAACUAAAUGAUCCAGGUUGAGCAGCGAAGUAGUGGAGGAAGUGCUAUUGAGACAAGAUACUUAAUUCAGUCAGAUUUUGA
Salvia splendens (bonfire salvia) is the source of this 263-nucleotide long non-coding RNA. RefSeq lists it as uncharacterized. The record is from RefSeq and is a predicted model, not a curated record. The transcript is spliced from 3 exons. Lineage: Eukaryota; Viridiplantae; Streptophyta; Magnoliopsida; Lamiales; Lamiaceae.